This 349-nucleotide ribosomal RNA is filed under the name uncultured bacterium. RNAcentral describes it as "partial 16S ribosomal RNA". It matches the Rfam family "Bacterial small subunit ribosomal RNA", at positions 338 to 679 of the family's 1533-position model. The record is from RNAcentral.
CCUACGGGCGACUGCAGUGGGGAAUAUUGCGCAAUGGGCGAAAGCCUGACGCAGCGACGCCGCGUGAGGGAUGAAGGUCUGCGGAUCGUAAACCUCUGUCAGCAGGGAAGAACGGUCACGGUGCUAAGCAGCAGUGAAUGGACGGUACCUGCAAAGGAAGCACCGGCUAACUCCGUGCCAGCAGCCGCGGUAAUACGGAGGGUGCGAGCGUUAAUCGGAAUUACGGGGCGUAAAGCGCUCGUAGGCGGUAUGUCAAGUCAAGGGUGAAAUCCCCGCGCUCCACGUGGGAACUGCCUUUGAAACUGGCAACCUGGAGUGUGUGAGAGGCUAGUGGCAUUCCCGUUGUAGG